GUAUGCUGACUCAUAAUAACUUCACGAAUCGCAUGGCCUUGUGCUGGCGAUGAAUCAUUCAAAUUUCUGCCCUAUCAACUUUUGAUGGUACGUUAGAGGCCUACCAUGGUUAUGACGGGUAACGGAGAAUUAGGGUUCGAUUCCGGAGAGGGAGCCUGAGAAAUGGCUACCACAUCCAAGGAAGGCAGCAGGCGCGCAAAUUGCCCAAUCUCGAUACGAGGAGGCAGCGACAAGAAGUAACAGUGCUGGGCUUUUUCAAGUCUAGCAAUUGGAAUGAGUACAAUUUAAACACCUUAACGAAUUCUAUUGGAGGGCAAGUCUGGUGCCAGCAGCCGCGGUAAUUCCAGCUCCAAUAGCGUAUAUUAAUGCUGUUGCAGUUGAAACGCUCGUAGUUGGACUUCUGGGUGAGUCGCUUGGUCGGCUUCUAGCUGUACCUUGCGGCUUGUCCUUUUGUCCAAGGAAGACUCAGCAAUGGGUCUGACUUGGGCCAGUUACUUUGAGAAAAUUAGGGUGUUCAAAGCAGGCAAGUGCCUUGAAUACGUUAGCAUGGAAUAACGGAAUAGGACUUUGGUUCUAUUUUGUUGGUGUCUAGGACCGAAGUAAUGAUUAAUAGGGACAGUUGGGGGCAUUCAUAUUUAAUUGUCAGAGGUGAAAUUCUUGGAUUUAUUAAAGAUGAACUACUGCGAAAGCAUUUGCCAAGGAUGUUUUCAUUAAUCAAGAACGAAAGUUAGGGGAUCGAAGACGAUCAGAUACCGUCGUAGUCUUAACCAUAAACUAUGCCAACUAGGGAUUGGAGGAUGUGUUUUUUAACUCCUUCAGCACCUAAUGAGAAAUCAAAGUCUUUGGGCUCUGGGGGGAGUACGGUCGCAAGGCUGAAACUUAAAGGAAUUGACGGAAGGGCACCACCAUGGAGUGGGACCUGCGGCUUAAUCUGACACAACACGGAAAAACUUACCAGGUCCAGACAUAGUGAGGAUUGACAGAUUGAGAGCUCUUUCUUGAUUCUAUGGGUGGUGGUGCAUGGCCGUUCUUAGUUGGUGGAGUGAUUUGUCUGCUUAAUUGCGAUAACGAACGAGACCUUAACCUGCUAAAUAGUUGCACAAAGCCUAGCUUUGUAUGCAGCUUCUUAGAGGGACAAUGCAAGUCAAUUGUAUGGAAGUUUGAGGCAAUAACAGGUCUGUGAUGCCCUUAGAUGUUCUGGGCCGCACGCGUGUCACACUGACGAUUGCAGAGAGUAUUUCCUGGACCGAAAGGUUUGGGUAAUCUCACAAAUUUCGUCGUGAUGGGGAUUGACCAUUGUAAUUAUUGGUCAUGAACGAGGAAUUCCUUGUAGGCGCAAGUCAUCAACUUGCGCCGAAUACGUCCCUGCCCUUUGUACACACCGCCCGUCGCUGCUACCGAUUGGAUGAUCCGGUGAAAUUUUCGGACUGUCGCCCUGGGGUGGCUUGCCGCCGCUGGGUGAUGGGAAGUUGCUUAAACCUUAUUAUCUAGAGGAAGCAAAAGUCGUAACAAGGUU
RNAcentral lists this ribosomal RNA (1516 nucleotides) under metagenome. Its description in RNAcentral is "SSU rRNA". It matches the Rfam family "Eukaryotic small subunit ribosomal RNA", at positions 241 to 1801 of the family's 1831-position model. The record is from RNAcentral.